UAACCCUUGAUGAGUUAAAUGGCGUCCAGUAUUAGAGUUAUUUCCAAUAGUUGAUUGCGCCAGGGUUGAUUUUACUUGUUAAGUAUUGUUUUAACAUUUGCUGAGUUAAAUGGUUUCCAGUGUUCGAGUUAUUUUCCAUAACUGAUUCCAAUUGAAUCAACUCUGAGGAAAAUAAGCUCAUCCCUCCUUCAUUGUCUUCCUUGGAGUAAAAUUGGAAAACCGCUCCCUUUUUCUUCUUCUCCUGUUGUUCUAAACGCUAGUUGAAGUGCCCUACAAAAGAUGUCUGGUGGUGAAGAAGUUCUGCAAGAGUGUGGAACAAUAGAAACCCUCAGUUUUGCCAUAAGAAGACAAGUGGUGAACAUACUGAUGGCUCACAGGUUUAAUAAACAUAGGCACCUUCCUGCUAAACAAAUCAGAGAGAACUACCUGAGGUUGGUGACAUCUCCUUCCAAAACCACCUGAGGUCUCCAGGAAUCAGUGCAUGGGAUGCAGUCGAGAGACUUGCUGUCUUUUAUAAGUCAUGCUGCAGUUUAGAGGAACAUCUCCGGGACCAACAGGGUCUGCAGCCAUACCUCCUUGCUGUUUGAUGUCAG
Poecilia reticulata (guppy) is the source of this 593-nucleotide non-coding RNA. The record is from RefSeq and is a predicted model, not a curated record. NCBI's taxonomy places the organism in Eukaryota, Metazoa, Chordata, Actinopteri, Cyprinodontiformes, Poeciliidae.